GAGGGUAGAGUUCAGUGGUAGAUUGCGUGCUUAGAAUGCAUGAGGUCGUGGGUUCAAUCCCCAGUGCCUCUA
RNAcentral lists this transfer RNA (72 nucleotides) under Camelus ferus (Wild Bactrian camel). It matches the Rfam family "tRNA". Rfam says of the family: Transfer RNA (tRNA) molecules are approximately 80 nucleotides in length. Their secondary structure includes four short double-helical elements and three loops (D, anti-codon, and T loops). Lineage: Eukaryota; Metazoa; Chordata; Mammalia; Artiodactyla; Camelidae. The record is from Rfam by way of RNAcentral.